This 73-nucleotide transfer RNA is filed under the name Staphylinoidea sp. 4 KM-2017. RNAcentral describes it as "tRNA-Lys". Lineage: Eukaryota; Metazoa; Arthropoda; Insecta; Coleoptera. The record is from RNAcentral.
CAUUAGGUGGCUGAAAGUAAGCAUUGGUCUCUUAAACCAAAAAAAAUAGUAAUCUUACACCUACUUCUAAUGA